RNAcentral lists this long non-coding RNA (341 nucleotides) under Musa acuminata (dwarf banana). RNAcentral describes it as "long non-coding RNA (MACU_LNC004931)". Lineage: Eukaryota; Viridiplantae; Streptophyta; Magnoliopsida; Zingiberales; Musaceae. The record is from RNAcentral.
GAGUUAUUUAAACUAUUCCAUUGGAGAUCGUCUGUUUUAUUUAUAGAAACCCAUGGUGGUAAGGUUUAUGAUCUAUUAAGCUCUGUAUUUUGUGUGAUGAAGCUUUAAGGUUAUUUUGACCGUUGAAAUUGUGUUAACUGUUGUAUUUUAUAUUCUUGGUCAUCUGCAAUUCUUCAUGAUGAGGUAUUCAAUUUGGUAAAUGUUUCGUUUGUUUGUGGCUGUUUGGUUUCAUCUUUUCUUGUAUUGAUUAUUUAUUGUAUUUUAUGUGAUUCUUUAUAGCACAAAUGUCUGCACAUUUUCUUUAUAUAAAAGUACCAGCCUUGUAGGUUGUUCAUUAAAAU